UCUGUAUGUAGAGCCUAUUUCCUAUGCUUUCGAAAGUACGGAAGUGUUCGUAUUUAUAAAUUAUUUUUGAUGAUAGAACAUCCGAUUUUAUAUUAUAUAGAAUUAGGCUGGAAUGUUUUUAAUAGCACCAAGUCAUUGGUGCUAUUAAGUUUUUCCGUCUUUGAACGAAAAUAUGUGCGAUUGGAAUCGAUGACGGUGAUUUUUUAGAAUUAAGUGGGUGGUUGAUUAAAUAAUAAGAUCUAAUAAAUAAAAAUAAUUAAAAGAACAAAUCUAAUAGUA
This 279-nucleotide long non-coding RNA is filed under the name Ananas comosus (pineapple). RNAcentral's name for it is "long non-coding RNA (ACOM_LNC007722)". Lineage: Eukaryota; Viridiplantae; Streptophyta; Magnoliopsida; Poales; Bromeliaceae. The record is from RNAcentral.